CAGAAGGAACGAAACUGACGGUACUUUCAGAAGAAGGUGCGGCCAACUACGUGCCAGCAGCCGCGGUGACACGUAGGCACCAAGCGUUGUCCGGAUUUAUUGGGCGUAAAGAGCUCGUAGGCGGUUCAGUAAGUCGGGUGUGAAAACUUUGGGCUUAACCCAAAGCGUGCAUCCGAUACUGCUGUGACUUGAGUACGGUAGGGGAGCGGGGAAUUCCUAGUGUAGCGGUGAAAUGCGCAGAUAUUAGGAGGAACACCGGUGGCGAAAGCGCCGCUCUGGGCCGAAACUGACGCUGAGGAGCGAAAGCAUGGGUAGCAAACAGGAUUAGAUACCCUGGUAGUCCAUGCCGUAAACGUUGGGCACUAGGUGUGGGUUCCGACCAACGGAAUCCGCGCCGUCGCUAACGCAUUAAGUGCCCCGCC
This 422-nucleotide ribosomal RNA is filed under the name uncultured Actinomycetes bacterium. RNAcentral's name for it is "bacterial SSU rRNA". It matches the Rfam family "Bacterial small subunit ribosomal RNA", at positions 455 to 873 of the family's 1533-position model. Lineage: Bacteria; Bacillati; Actinomycetota; Actinomycetes. The record is from RNAcentral.